AGCGAACGCUGGCGGCAGGCCUAACACAUGCAAGUCGAACGCCCCUUCGGGGGAGUGGCGGACGGGUGAGUAACGCGUGGGAACGUGCCCUUUGGUGCGGAACAACUGAGGGAAACUUCAGCUAAUACCGUAUGUGCCCUACGGGGGAAAGAUUUAUCGCCAUUGGAGCGGCCCGCGUUGGAUUAGGUAGUUGGUGGGGUAAUGGCCCACCAAGCCGACGAUCCAUAGCUGGUCUGAGAGGAUGAUCAGCCACACUGGGACUGAGACACGGCCCAGACUCCUACGGGAGGCAGCAGUGGGGAAUCUUGCGCAAUGGGCGAAAGCCUGACGCAGCCAUGCCGCGUGUAUGAUGAAGGUCUUAGGAUUGUAAAAUACUUUCACCGGGGAAGAUAAUGACGGUACCCGGAGAAGAAGCCCCGGCUAACUUCGUGCCAGCCGCCGCAGUAA
This 447-nucleotide ribosomal RNA is filed under the name uncultured bacterium. RNAcentral's name for it is "partial 16S ribosomal RNA". It matches the Rfam family "Bacterial small subunit ribosomal RNA", at positions 29 to 523 of the family's 1533-position model. The record is from RNAcentral.